GGAGUUUGGACCGUCUCUCAGUUCCAAUGUGGCCGAUCACCCUCUCAGGUCGGCUACCGAUCGUCGACUUGGUGGGCCGUUACCCCGCCGACAAGCUAAUCAGACGCAUCCCCAUCCCUUACCGAUGAAUCUUUGCUCCUCGUUAGAUGCCUGCAAAGGAGAACAUAAGGCAUUAAUCCGACUUUCGCCGGGCUAUUCCUUAGUAAGGGGAAGGUUGGAUACGCGUUACUCACCCGUGCGCCGGUCGCCAUCGGCCUUAGCAAGCUAAGACCAUGCUGCCCUCGACUUGCAUGUGUUAAGCCUGUAGCUAGCGUUCAUCCUGAGCCAUGAUCAAAACUCU
Molecule: ribosomal RNA, 340 nt
Filed under: uncultured Prevotella sp.
Lineage: Bacteria; Pseudomonadati; Bacteroidota; Bacteroidia; Bacteroidales; Prevotellaceae
Description: partial 16S ribosomal RNA
Source: RNAcentral